Myripristis murdjan (pinecone soldierfish) is the source of this 90-nucleotide long non-coding RNA. RefSeq lists it as uncharacterized. The transcript is spliced from 3 exons. The record is from RefSeq and is a predicted model, not a curated record. NCBI's taxonomy places the organism in Eukaryota, Metazoa, Chordata, Actinopteri, Holocentriformes, Holocentridae.
AGGAUUGUUUGGUGGUACACAUUCAGUAACCUUCAACAAAUCUGGUAGUACAAGUCAGCCUUUUCCAUUUGUUUUAUAAAGAGUGAACAG